This 428-nucleotide long non-coding RNA is filed under the name Homo sapiens (human). RNAcentral's name for it is "HSALNT0337431". The record is from RNAcentral. Lineage: Eukaryota; Metazoa; Chordata; Mammalia; Primates; Hominidae.
AGAGUCAUGUGUAAGUGACAGAAUACAGUAUCCCCCCUUUCCUCAGUUUCCAGUUACUUGUGGCCAACUGGGAUUCAAAAUUGGAUUGGUUUGCCAUGGCUCUUUGAAACAGUUACUCUUGUCCUCAUUGUAGAGAUGGCGAUACUAAGGCAGAAUAUGGCUAGCCUGGACUUCUUUUUGUGGAGACUGGAUUCCAAGAUUGAAAGUAGAAGCUACAUGUUUUCUCCAAGCAGGGCUUUCAGACUUCACUUCUGCAACAUUUUAUUGAUGAAAGCAAGUCACAAGACCAGACUGAUUCAAGGGGUGGAGAAAUAGACCCUACUUCUUGAUGGAGGGAGGAGUAGAGUUACAUUGCAAAGGGAUCUGGACAAAAAAAGGAGUGAUUUAUUAGGAAUCAUGUUUAACAAUUUACCACAAUCCCCAGCGCA